GUUUCUUCAUCAAAUUGUUAUUAAAUCCCUACUGAGUGCCACGCACUGUGCUGGAUUUUGGGACUGUCAUGAUUUUUCUGACUUGGAGACUGGACUUUGGGGCUCUGAUGUCUUUUUCUCAAGAAGGCCUUGAGUUCCUAGAAGGUUCUGAGUCACCUCUUCCCCAGUGUCCAGCUCUGCACAUCAAUGGGAGAGACAGUUUUUGCUAAGACAAAAAAAUUAAAUAAGUGAAGACUGAGAAGGAUCCAUUGGAUUGGACUUGGAAUCAUUGUUGGGUAGACAUAUGGCUGCAGUGGUUUGAAGAGUGAAUGAAAGUAGAGACACCCUAUUUGGAUGGAUAUCACUAUGCACAGCUUACACUCAAGGAAUGAGGAGACAGGCUCCAUCUCUGUGUGAGUAGAGUAUCUACACAGAUUAUGAAGAAAUCUUCUGAACCACAGCCUUUUCUUUCCAAGUGAUAAAAUCCCAAAUAGAACCAAGGCAAAAGGAGGAUGAUGUCAGAAUUCCGGGGUAUUGCACAUGAUUGAAUGAAGAAGUACAUCACCAGAUCAAGGAUGAAGCUGUCUUUAAGAACAACCUGAACAGAAAUUGAAUGCUGCUGAGAUUCUUGUCUUUCUCUCUUCCCCUUCUAUAAGCUUUCACUUUGAACUUGUGGGAAUGGGUGGGGAGGGUAGGAGGACAGGCAGAAGAAGAAUCUGCUACACAAAAAUCAAGAACUUUUAGGGGGGAUCCAUCAAAACGAGGUUCAGAUUCAGUUUUGCAAGCUUAACUUGGGUUAUCUAACAGCUCAGAAGGGAUAAAGAUCUGCUCAAUAGUAACUCUCAGGCUUUUUGGGGUAGAAUUACAUGUAAUGAGGUAUGUAAGGCACUUAGCAUAGCAGCUGGCCUAUAGUAGCUACUC
This is a long non-coding RNA of Bos taurus (domestic cattle), 900 nucleotides long. Lineage: Eukaryota; Metazoa; Chordata; Mammalia; Artiodactyla; Bovidae. The record is from Ensembl.